AACGCAUAUUGCGCUCGAGGCUCCGGCCAAGAGCAUGUCUGCCUCAGCGUCGGGUUAAUAUCACACUCCUUACUCCUGUAUGGGAGUAAUCAUAGUGUGGAACUGGCUGUUCCAGCGUGGUGUUUAUGAUCCUGUCAAAGGGACUCUGAACAAUCAAACCUGCUGGAUCAGCUGAAGUGCAGAGGCUAACCAAGGACCCGCUAAGGGCCGCAACUGGGUAGGCAUUAACAAUGCUAUCAUGCUUAGUUGUUGGUCUGGGACUUUGAUUGUCAGCCCUCAAACAGGAACCUUUAACCCCUUAUUUUCUCGACCUGAGCUCAGGCAAGAACACCCGCUGAACUUAA
This 344-nucleotide unclassified non-coding RNA is filed under the name uncultured soil eukaryote. RNAcentral describes it as "sequence contains 5.8S rRNA gene, ITS2, 28S rRNA gene". The record is from RNAcentral.